GACGAACGCUGGCGGCGUGCCUAAUACAUGCAAGUCGAACGCUGAAGGAGGAGCUUGCUUCUCCGGAUGAGUUGCGAACGGGUGAGUAACGCGUAGGUAACCUGCCUGGUAGCGGGGGAUAACUAUUGGAAACGAUAGCUAAUACCGCAUAAGAGUAGAUGUUGCAUGACAUUUGCUUAAAAGGUGCAAUUGCAUCACUACCAGAUGGACCUGCGUUGUAUUAGCUAGUUGGUGGGGUAACGGCUUACCAAGGCGACGAUACAUAGCCGACCUGAGAGGGUGAUCGGCCACACUGGGACUGAGACACGGCCCAGACUACUACGGGAGGCAGCAGUAGGGAAUCUUCGGCAAUGGACGGAAGUCUGACCGAGCAACGCCGCGUGAGUGAAGAAGGGUUUCGGAUCGUAAAGCUCUGUUGUAAGAGAAGAACGAGUGUGAGAGUGGAAAGUUCACACUGUGACGGUAUCUUACCAGAAAGGGACGGCUAACUACGUG
This 495-nucleotide ribosomal RNA is filed under the name uncultured bacterium. RNAcentral describes it as "partial 16S ribosomal RNA". It matches the Rfam family "Bacterial small subunit ribosomal RNA", at positions 28 to 507 of the family's 1533-position model. The record is from RNAcentral.